AGAAACUCACGGAGCAUUAUAGUACACUGGUCACUUUGAUUUUUUCGAUAUUUUAAUAAGUAUUAAAAGACCCCAUCAAAUCAAAUACAUAUAUAAUAUAAUUGCAGCACAGAUUUAGAGAGAGAAAGCGAAAUAGGUAGUGUGUAGACGAAGGAGAAGAGAGAUCACAUCACAUGUGGUGAAGAGUAAUUGUACAAAGAACAUUCUUUUGUUUUUGGGGUCAGCCAUGGAUGUUCCAUUGCCACUGCAAAGACCAUUGAGUUACAGCAAUAGUGUCUCCACUGAAAGAACCCACCUCAACAUCAAACCUUUUCUUGGUUUUGUCCCUCAUGGAACCACAUGUCUAUCCGUACAAUCUUCUUCGUGGAGGAACGAUGGAAUGGUUGCUGGAGUUUCAUAUCCAUUUUGUGCAAAUUUCUCCAGAAGAAGACAGAGAAAACUUUCAACUCCUAGGAGUCAAGGCUCUUCACCAAAGGGGUUUGUGCCAAGGACGCCUUCAGGGAUGAGCACACAAAGAAGGGAUCAGAAGAGCAACGGUGAUAAAGAAAGUCAAAGUACUUCAUCAUCCAAAGAAUCAGAAAUUUCCAACCCCAAGACGUUUGAAGCAAAAGUUGAAACUAGUGAUGAUGGCACUAAACAAGUGGGAAGGGACCGCAAGUCUCAGGAGGAGGAGGAUGAAUUCAAUGGUGCCACUAAAUCAGUAAGUCUAUCACCUGUUCGUGGAUCAACUCAAUUUGUUGGAAGUGGAGAAACUGGUGACAAUGACGUGGGUGCUGUAAAUUUUAAUAAAUCAAAUAGAACGGAAGAGAGUGAUUUUCAAAUUGAUUCUGUAAUAAGAGAACAAAGUGGAGGUGAUUACUCCGAAAAUAUUCAGGGGAAAACUAGCAAGGGCAGCCUCGCUUUGGGUACACCACUUUCUGAAAUAUUGCAGCUAGAUAUUGAUGGAGGUUAUAAAGUUGAACAAUACAAUCAUGAUGAGUUGGAUGAGACACAAAAACUGAAAGAAAAUGAUGCUGGGAAUGUUGAAGACAAAAGACCCUUAGCAAGAGAGCUGUUGGAAAUGACUAAGCCUAGCAAUGUGGAAUUUACUGAAAGCAAUGAGAUCACUGAAGUAGACAGUAAUAGUUUCUUAAAACCAGAUUCAGUUGACGAGAGUGAGCCAUCAACUGUAGGAACAUUAGAGACUGAAGAUAUUUCUCUGAAGUUAAGAUUGGAGAUGGAAGCGAAUCUACGUAGGCAGGCUAUAAAAAGGCUUGCCGAGGAAAAUUUAUUGCAAGGAAUCAGAUUAUUUUGUUUCCCAGAGGUUGUAAAACCCAAUGAAGAUGUCGAAAUAUUCCUUAACAGGAGUCUUUCCACUUUGAAUAAUGAACCUGAUCUCUUGAUUAUGGGAGCUUUUAAUGACUGGCGGUGGAGAUCUUUUACUACAACACUAACUGAGACUCAUCUCAGUGGAGAUUGGUGGUCUUGCAAGAUCCACGUUCCGAAGGAAGCAUACAAGAUUGAUUUUGUGUUUUUUAAUGGAAAGGAUGUCUAUGACAACAAUGAUAAUAAUGAUUUCAGUAUAACUGUGGAAGGUGGUAUGCAAAUUCUUGAUUUUGAAAAUUUCUUGCUCGAGGAGAAACGGAGAGAACAGGAGAAACUUGCUAAAGAACAAGCUGAAAGAGAAAGACUAGCAGAAGAACAAAGGCGAAUAGAAGCAGAGAAAGCUGCACUUGAAGCUGAUAGAUCACAGGCAAAGGAAGAGGCUGCAAAGAAAAGGGAAGUAUUGCAAGCACUGAUGGCAAAAGCCUCGAAGACUCGUGAUAUCACCUGGUAUAUCGAACCAAGUGUAUUUAAAUGUGAGGAGAAGGUCAAGUUAUACUAUGACAAAAGUUCAGGUCCUCUCUCCCAUGCUAAGGACUUGUGGAUCCAUGGAGGAUAUAACAACUGGAAGGAUGGUUUGUCUAUCGUUGAAAAGCUUGUUAAAUCUGAGAGAAUAGAUGGUGAUUGGUGGUAUACAGAGGUUGUCAUCCCUGAUCGGGCACUUGUCUUGGAUUGGGUUUUUGCUGAUGGUCCACCCAAGCAUGCCAUUGCAUAUGAUAACAAUCAUCGCCAAGACUUCCAUGCCAUUGUCCCCAAGCACAUUCCGGAGGAAUUAUAUUGGGUUGAGGAAGAACUUCAGAUCUUCAAGACACUUCAGGAGGAGAGAAGGCUUAGAGAAGAGGCUAUGCGUGCUAAGGCUGAAAAAGCAGCACGUAUGAAAGCUGAAACAAAGGAAAGGACUAUGAAAUCAUUCUUAUUGUCUCAGAAGCAUAUAGUGUACACUGAGCCUCUUGAUGUCCAAGCUGGAAGCAGCGUCACAGUUUACUAUAAUCCCGCCAAUACAGUACUUAAUGGUAAACCUGAAAUUUGGUUCAGAUGUUCAUUCAAUCGUUGGACUCACCGCCUGGGUCCAUUGCCGCCUCAAAAAAUGUUGCCUACUGAAAAUGGAACCCAUGUCAAAGCAACUGUGAAGGUUCCAUUGGAUGCACAUAUGAUGGAUUUUGUAUUCUCUGAGAGAGAAGAUGGUGGAAUUUUUGACAAUAGAAGUGGAAUGGACUAUCACAUACCUGUGUUUGGAGGAGUCGCAAAAGAACCUCCGAUGCAUAUUGUUCAUAUUGCUGUCGAAAUGGCACCUAUUGCAAAGGUGGGAGGCCUUGGUGAUGUUGUUACUAGUCUUUCCCGUGCAGUUCAAGAUUUAAACCAUAAUGUGGAUAUCAUCUUACCUAAGUAUGACUGUUUGAAGAUGAAUCAGGUGAAGGACUUUCAGUUUCACAAAAGCUACUUUUGGGGUGGGACUGAAAUAAAAGUAUGGUUUGGGAAGGUGGAAGGUGUCUCCGUCUACUUUUUGGAGCCUCAAAACGGGUUAUUUUGGAAGGGGUGUGUAUAUGGUUGUAAUAAUGAUGGUGAAAGAUUUGGUUUCUUUUGUCACGCGGCUUUGGAGUUUCUUCUGCAAGGUGGAUUUCAUCCGGAUAUCAUCCAUUGCCAUGAUUGGUCUAGUGCUCCCGUUGCGUGGCUCUUUAAGGAACAAUAUACACACUAUGGUCUAAGCAAGUCUCGAAUUGUCUUCACAAUACACAAUCUUGAAUUUGGUGCAGAUCUCAUUGGGAAAGCAAUGACUUAUGCAGACAAAGCUACAACAGUUUCCCCAACUUACUCAAGGGAGGUGUCUGGAAACCCUGUAAUUGCACCUCACCUUUACAAGUUCCAUGGUAUAGUGAACGGGAUUGACCCAGAUAUUUGGGACCCGUUGAACGAUAAGUUCAUUCCGAUUUCAUACACCUCGGAAAAUGUUGUUGAAGGCAAAACAGCAGCCAAGGAAGCUUUGCAGCAAAAACUUGGACUGAAACAGGCCGACCUUCCUUUGGUAGGAAUAAUCACCCGCUUAACUCACCAGAAAGGAAUCCACCUCAUCAAACAUGCUAUUUGGCGCACCCUGGAACGGAAUGGACAGGUGGUCUUGCUUGGUUCUGCUCCUGAUCCUAGGAUACAAAAUGAUUUUGUUAAUUUGGCAAAUCAAUUGCACUCCACAUAUAAUGACCGUGCACGGCUCUGUCUAACAUACGAUGAGCCACUUUCUCACCUGAUAUAUGCUGGUGCUGAUUUCAUUCUAGUCCCUUCAAUAUUUGAGCCAUGUGGACUAACACAACUUACGGCGAUGAGAUAUGGUUCAAUUCCAAUUGUGCGUAAAACUGGAGGACUUUAUGAUACUGUAUUUGAUGUUGACCAUGACAAAGAGAGAGCACAACAGUGUGGUCUUGAACCAAAUGGAUUCAGCUUUGAUGGAGCUGAUGCUGCCGGAGUUGAUUAUGCUCUGAAUAGAGCUCUGUCUGCUUGGUAUGAUGGUCGGGAUUGGUUCAACUCUUUAUGCAAGCAGGUCAUGGAACAAGAUUGGUCUUGGAACCGACCUGCUCUUGAUUAUUUGGAGCUUUACCAUGCUGCUAGAAAGUUAGAAUAGUUAGUUUGUGAGAUACUAGCAGAAAGAUUCACGAGAUCUGCAAUCUGUACAGUUUUAGAAGAAAUGAGAAAUCAAAGGAUGCAAAUACUCUCAUUGGCUCUUCAAGAUUGAACUUUGGAUCCUAAAUCCAUACUACAUUACUCAAACAGGUUUUCGGAGGGUCGGCUGUUUUGUUCUGGUAUUAUGUGGUUAUUGGAGGGUAAAAGGAGCUUUACAAUGUCUUUUGCAAUUUUCUUGCUUUAAAAUAUCCACCAUAUCUAUAUCCUGAUUUUCUUAAUAACUUAUGAGAGUUUGAAAAGAAUUACUCCUUGUUUUUCUCGAAGCCUAAGAUCAAAGAGGUAAUCAUCAUUUGGUGACACCUUGAUUUUUAUUUGCCCAA
RNA transcript from Nicotiana tabacum (common tobacco), 4355 nucleotides. It is a transcript of the gene named soluble starch synthase 3, chloroplastic/amyloplastic, with no coding region annotated. NCBI's taxonomy places the organism in Eukaryota, Viridiplantae, Streptophyta, Magnoliopsida, Solanales, Solanaceae. The record is from RefSeq and is a predicted model, not a curated record.